RNAcentral lists this ribosomal RNA (330 nucleotides) under Salmonella enterica subsp. enterica. Its description in RNAcentral is "bacterial SSU rRNA". It matches the Rfam family "Bacterial small subunit ribosomal RNA", at positions 108 to 441 of the family's 1533-position model. The record is from RNAcentral. Lineage: Bacteria; Pseudomonadati; Pseudomonadota; Gammaproteobacteria; Enterobacterales; Enterobacteriaceae. RNAcentral also lists the same sequence under 2 other names.
GAGUAAUGUCUGGGAAACUGCCUGAUGGAGGGGGAUAACUACUGGAAACGGUGGCUAAUACCGCAUAACGUCGCAAGACCAAAGAGGGGGACCUUCGGGCCUCUUGCCAUCAGAUGUGCCCAGAUGGGAUUAGCUUGUUGGUGAGGUAACGGCUCACCAAGGCGACGAUCCCUAGCUGGUCUGAGAGGAUGACCAGCCACACUGGAACUGAGACACGGUCCAGACUCCUACGGGAGGCAGCAGUGGGGAAUAUUGCACAAUGGGCGCAAGCCUGAUGCAGCCAUGCCGCGUGUAUGAAGAAGGCCUUCGGGUUGUAAAGUACUUUCAGCG